Molecule: non-coding RNA, 109 nt
Organism: Acanthosepion pharaonis
Lineage: Eukaryota; Metazoa; Mollusca; Cephalopoda; Sepiida; Sepiidae
Source: the annotation of a GenBank genome assembly
AUCAUGUCACAUUGAAACACCAGUUCCCAUAUGAUCACCAAAGUUAAGCAACAUUGAGUCUGGUCAGUACCUUGAUGGGUGAUUGCUUGGGAAUACCAGAUACUGUAAG